AGGAAGGAGGGAACAGGAGGGGAAGAGCGGGGAGGAGGGAGGACAGAAGAUAUUCAUCAUCAAACAACAUCAUCGUCAUCAUCCUGGAAACGGAGAGACCGAGUCAAACAUAUGAAGUCAAUGGCUAUGAGUGGCAUACUGAUCAAACAAUGGGACAGAAAACACUGAAAAGCAGACAAAACUUCACAGCAGCCAGAGGAAACAAAUCAAUGCCAAUUUUGAUUGGCCCAAUGAGCUGUGACAGAGGAAGCUGAUUGGAUGAGCAUCAGCGAUGUGCUUAAGGCGAUGUUUGGAGUAUAUGUGCUGUGGUUAGUGAAGU
Long non-coding RNA from Lates calcarifer (barramundi perch), 319 nucleotides. RefSeq lists it as uncharacterized. Lineage: Eukaryota; Metazoa; Chordata; Actinopteri; Centropomidae. The transcript has 3 exons. The record is from RefSeq and is a predicted model, not a curated record.